CAUCUUUGAAGGCUUUUUUUUUUUUCUCAUUAAAUCUCUCAACUCAGUUCUUCUGAAGUAAUACUUCACAGAGAAGAAGACAAACAAUUACGCUUCUCACAGGAAACGCCGCAGACGAGACACCUGACAGCCUCCGGAGCCCCGACGUGACCCCGAUGCUAGUUCCUGUCUCGGCACGGCCCGUCUCACAGGAAAUAGCCAAGAAGGUGAUUUCUGCUUUUUUUUUUGUAUGUGUGCGUUGACAGGCUAUACCUCAGAAGUGUGCCAAUACGGCAACUGUCUGCGUGGGAACAAUAGCACCUGUCGCUCCGGGCAAGCAGACAAUAAAGGCCAGAUGGGAGCCAGGACGGAAGCAAACGCCAGCCCGAAGCAGGCCCCCCCCAAGGUAUUUGUUUUCCUGGAAGUGAACUAUCGUCAUCAUUGUGGCCUGUGGCACCUCCCAAACAGAUUCAUAAAAAAGAAACAGCUGGCUUCUUCGAAACCACGACUGGGUCGGUUUCCUGAUAUGGGUGGGGUUCUGACACGGGCAACAUAAAGAUGAAAUUAUUAUUAUUAAAGGUCAUAAAAAAAAAACCAAAAAAGAUGAUGACGAGCUACGCUUCAGAAUGACAGAGGCUCAUUGGAGAAACAACGUUUCCAUCCAUCUCGGAGUAUUUACUGGCCCGCUUCCUUCCUACCGACCGACACCGUCACUGUGUUGGACCUGGCCUCUGAACUUUAGCCUCCAUAUCACCCACCAUAAAUGUCCAACGUUUGAACAGAGCAUUCUUAGCCAGGGUGAGGCAACAGCGGAGCUCGGGGGGGGAUCUGGAGCCGGCCCCCUCUCUGCUUUAUGGUGCUCAUUUAGGAGGCUGCCGACAAACCACGUUUGUGUGUGUGUGUGUGUCUGUGUGUGUACCUGAGUUGAUUUAAAGUUACAAAUAAUAACGAUUGAGCAGUCCCGGAAUCCAGCUGGCUCCAUAGCAAGCUAACCAUCAACUAAUAAUGAGUGUUGGAGACAGACAGAGAGACAGAAAGUGCUUUUACUAAAAACAAAUUAAAACCUUGAAGGAACUGUAGUAAACAUUUCCUAAAAACCAUCACAUUUGCCAAAUCUCCAACAAACUAUAUUGCACUUCACUUGCGACACAAUAUUGUAGAAAAACUUGGUCAAAUUAUCUUCUAAUUAACCCGCAGAAAGUUUUUAUAGUGAUUUUUUUUUUUUUUUUUUUACAAUAGAACACUGAUACCACAUUUUUUAAUAUUAUUAAUUAAUUAUUAAUUAAUAUAUUUAAUAUAUGAUUUUUUUUAACAAUAGAACAUUGAUACCACAUUUUUUAAUACUGUGUUGUAAUAAUUUUGUGUGUUCAGUGUAGGGAAACGUCUUGUACUCAUACUCUGAAAAAGUGCACCAAUACAUCGACACCGAUACUUAACAAGUCUAUGCAAGUUGUUGCCAUAUCAGCCCGUUUUUUUUUUCCUUUAAACAUAUAAUUAAAAUAAAAUCUACAACUGGCAU
Molecule: long non-coding RNA, 1498 nt
Organism: Syngnathus typhle (broad-nosed pipefish)
Lineage: Eukaryota; Metazoa; Chordata; Actinopteri; Syngnathiformes; Syngnathidae
Exons: 2
Source: RefSeq, a predicted model, not a curated record